AUACGGAGGACGCGAGCGUUAUCCGGAUUCAUUGGGUUUAAAGGGUGCGCAGGCGGCCGUGCAAGUCAGCGGUGAAAGCCCGGGGCUCAACCCCGGAAGUGCCGUUGAUACUGCAUGGCUGGAAUGCGGUCGAGGCGGGCGGGAAGUGGCGUGUAGCGGGGAAAUGCGUAGAUAUGCCACAGAAAGCCGAUAGCGGAGGCAGCUCGCCAGGCCUGCAUUGACGCUCGGGCACGAAAGCGUGGGGAUCGAACAGGAUUAGAUACCCUGGUAGUCCACGCCGUAAACGAUGGGCGCUCGUCGUCGGCGGCAGACAGUCGGCGGCCAAGCGAAAGCGAUAAGCGCCCCACCUGGGGAGUACGGUCGCAAGGCUGAAACUCAAAUGAAUUGACGGGG
RNAcentral lists this ribosomal RNA (393 nucleotides) under uncultured bacterium. Its description in RNAcentral is "partial 16S ribosomal RNA". It matches the Rfam family "Bacterial small subunit ribosomal RNA", at positions 523 to 918 of the family's 1533-position model. The record is from RNAcentral.